This is a long non-coding RNA of Pangasianodon hypophthalmus (striped catfish), 1395 nucleotides long. RefSeq lists it as uncharacterized. The record is from RefSeq and is a predicted model, not a curated record. Lineage: Eukaryota; Metazoa; Chordata; Actinopteri; Siluriformes; Pangasiidae. The transcript is spliced from 3 exons.
CAGGAAUGAAGGAGUGGAACGAUUACAGUUUCCCCAUCCGUGAUCGAGAAUUCCAGCAGAAGGACCUGGAGGAAAAGAGAAAGAUAAGAAAGGAGAAAGACAGGGCAGUGAGAGACAGAGGGAGAAUUCACAUGCCAUCCAUUACCAUCUGUCAGACCCUUGCAUGCUGCAUCUUAGCCAGGGGGGGAGAGACAGAGCGCAUGAGAGGUGCUGCAGAUGGAAGGCCCGAAAGAGACGAGAUGACUUUACAAGACAGUUUGGAAGGGAGCAUCAAUAUUUCAUCACAACUGCAUUUACGCACACACAAACAAACAAACAAAAAAAGCGAUUGCAUCUGGAACUUUCCUGCGGCGCCUCUCUUCCUCUGAACGCUUCAGUCUCUGUCUCACUCGUUCACUCACUAAAGGUUUGUGUAUGUCUCUUCAGAGCACUGUUCAGAGACAGAGGGUGAAGUUUUUGACUUCAGACACGCCGAACAUGCUCUGAUUUUGAAUGAAGGCUCAGCUAGCAUUUUGCUAAGUACAAGUAAGACACAAUUUAUGGCAUUUUAAUCCUUAAGGGUUGUCAUUGUCAUUGUGUACAUGAAAGAUACAUUUCUCCCACUGAUGUGAAAGAAUAACUGAAAACAAACACAAAAUAUGACACUCUUAUCAUGAAGUCCACCUAGCUAUAGAACAAUCAUACACACACACUCACACACAAACAGAGGUACAUUUUCUCUAUCUCUUUUUUUUUUUUCAUACAGAGCUAGACGUGGACAAAUCACUAGCCUGGUCACCCAAGCAGACUUUGUGUCCAUGCUAUUAGCUUUUUAUUCAUAGUUGGAAGUAGAAAAAGAAAACCGUAAGGACAAAAGUUUUCAUUUAGUAUGCAUGCUUAAAUGUAAUGCACUUCACAGUAUUGUGACACACCUUGAUUCUGUAACUAAUCUGCAUGCUUCUGAAUGCCACUACCUGCUGCAGUGCACACAUCUGCAGUUUUUACUAGGUGGAUUCAUUAAAUCUUUUGUCAAGGUUGCAAACACAAUGUCCUCAAAAGCAUUAGCAAGAGAAAAUAAGGACUAUGGAUACUCAGUCUUCCCAUCCCUGGGUCAUGUCCUCAUGAAUUUCAUUCAAGGGCACAAUGGUGGUAAAUGGUGGGUAGCAUUGCCUCCUCACAGCUCCAAGGUCCUGGGUUUCAUCCUGAGCUUGGUUUACUGUUUAUGUGGAGUUUUGAAUGUUUGUGUGACUUUCCUCUGGGCUCCUCAGUAGAUGAAUUGUUUAUGCAAUAGUUCCCUUAGGUGUGAAUGUGUGUGUGCAUGGUGUCCUGCGAUGGAGUGGCAUCUCAUUCAGGGUGAAUUCUCUUGCCUAGCAUGCAGUGUUCCCAAGAUUGCUUGGAUUGGAUUGAAUGGAUGGA